UGUUGGAGAGUGUUGUAUCAAGCCUGGACCUGAGAAAUGGAUUCCUCAGAGCUGUAAGACUUGUGACCAUGUUGAGGACUCCACACACUGGCUUCAGAUUGAACCCUUGACUUCCACUGUCCAGGGAGUGACAAUGUU
Molecule: long non-coding RNA, 138 nt
Organism: Salvelinus namaycush (lake trout)
Lineage: Eukaryota; Metazoa; Chordata; Actinopteri; Salmoniformes; Salmonidae
Exons: 3
Source: RefSeq, a predicted model, not a curated record